GUCAUCGUUCUCAGAGAUAUGUUUCUUCUUCUUCAACACCAAAUCGAUAUUCCUUCAUCUAUAUUCUAACUAAUUGCGAUGCCACACAUAAGAAGGUAACAUAAACACAUUGGCUGGAAAUGUACCUCCGAAAGCUAACCUCGGUGACUUGAGGGGGCUUGAAUGGGCUUAAAAGUUCUUCGAUGAGAAGAUGAAGCAGGAAAGAGACUUGCUCAGGUUGUAAGUGAUCCAAGCUUAACCAAAUCUGGUGUUUACUGGAGCUGGAAUAAAGCUUCUGCUUCAUUUGAAAACCAGCUAUCUCAAGAGUACAUGCAGCAACCAAAAUAGAGAACACAAAACAAAUGCUUAAGAAAAUGUGAGACUCUUGUCAUGGAAGACAAGACCACUUUUGGAGGUGAGACAACUUUUUCUGAGCUUUGAUCAAAUUUAUUAGGAUUUUAUUUGGCAUUUUGAUUUUUGAAUACUUCUCUUGAUAUGAACUGUUAACAUAUUUUGUAUAUAUUGUAUCUAAUACUGGAAGGGAUCUCAGUUAGGACUUGAA
Long non-coding RNA from Trifolium pratense (red clover), 541 nucleotides. RefSeq lists it as uncharacterized. The transcript is spliced from 4 exons. The record is from RefSeq and is a predicted model, not a curated record. NCBI's taxonomy places the organism in Eukaryota, Viridiplantae, Streptophyta, Magnoliopsida, Fabales, Fabaceae.